ACCAUGCUAUCCAUCAAGUUUCAGUACUGAACUCGAGUUUUCGUUAGCACCCCCAACCCAUAGUAGUAGUUUCCCUCCGGAAGGAAACACACUCUAAAAACCACAGCCUAGAUGAGCUUCUAGUUUCAUGGCAUCUGCAAUCUCCAAAAGUGAAGAAGACUUCAUUUUCCAAUCUAUAAAGACAACACUAGAACUAAUCCAGUCCAGCUGGUUAAAAGGGAAAAAGCUCAAGGCCAGAAAAUGUUCAAAGCUACCAUGACAGACAAACAGACAAAGGGAACUAACAGAAUUCAGACAAGCACAACUACAUAAAUGAGAGGCAGAGAGAGAAGUCUAUAAAGACAACACUAGUCUAUGAUCAAUCAA
Molecule: long non-coding RNA, 366 nt
Organism: Lycium ferocissimum
Lineage: Eukaryota; Viridiplantae; Streptophyta; Magnoliopsida; Solanales; Solanaceae
Exons: 2
Source: RefSeq, a predicted model, not a curated record